GUGCUCACUUGGGCAGCACAUAUAUGAAAAUUGGAAUAAGACAGAAAAUUAACAUGGCCUCUGCCCAAGGAUAACAUGCAAAUUUGUGUAGCGUUCGAUAUUUUU
Molecule: small nuclear RNA, 105 nt
Filed under: Marmota marmota marmota (Alpine marmot)
Lineage: Eukaryota; Metazoa; Chordata; Mammalia; Rodentia; Sciuridae
Also listed under: 1 other name
Source: RNAcentral